AAAUGUUGUGAUUGUUGGCCAGGGAAGAUCCCCUCCAAGAAGAAGACAACAACAAUAUUCACCACAGCAGUAUGUUCAACAACCCUUUCCCUAUCAGCAGCCCAUGUAUCCCGUUCAGUACGCCCCGCAACCGUACGUGGCUGCUGUGACGCCCGCCUUUAAUCAACAACAUGCUCAGGCCUAUCAAGCGCCUCCAGUUU
RNAcentral lists this long non-coding RNA (200 nucleotides) under Lathyrus oleraceus (garden pea). Its description in RNAcentral is "Pisum sativum (pea) long non-coding RNA (PSAT_LNC014127)". Lineage: Eukaryota; Viridiplantae; Streptophyta; Magnoliopsida; Fabales; Fabaceae. The record is from RNAcentral.